This 300-nucleotide unclassified non-coding RNA is filed under the name Herpotrichiellaceae sp. RNAcentral describes it as "partial contains internal transcribed spacer 1". The record is from RNAcentral. Lineage: Eukaryota; Fungi; Ascomycota; Eurotiomycetes; Chaetothyriales; Herpotrichiellaceae.
AAGUCGUAACAAGGUUUCCGUAGGGUGAGUCCACAACCCCCCCUUCUAAUUCCUUUGUAGCAUCUUACUAACGUUAUUAUCUAGUGAACCUGCGGAAGGAUCAUUACCGAGUAAGGGUCUUCUGGGCCCGACCUCCAACCCUUUGUUAAUUAAACCAUGUUGCAUUGGCGGGCCCGCCCUAGGGGCCGCUGGGGGCUUUACCGCCCCUGGCCAGUGUCCGCCAGUAGCCUUUUUCAAAAAUUCUCUUAACCUAUUGUCUGAGUCUAAAUAAAAAUCGUUAAAAACUUUCAACAACGGAUC